This is a long non-coding RNA of Spinacia oleracea (spinach), 316 nucleotides long. RefSeq lists it as uncharacterized. The transcript is spliced from 3 exons. NCBI's taxonomy places the organism in Eukaryota, Viridiplantae, Streptophyta, Magnoliopsida, Caryophyllales, Amaranthaceae. The record is from RefSeq and is a predicted model, not a curated record.
CUUCUUACCUAAAACCUUUAUACCACCACUACGGCACCCCCGUCGUGCACUCCUUGCCGCCGACGUCUACCUUUUGGUGUCGUGACUUCCACACCCCAAUUUUUUUCAAAGCCUUCUCUUUUACGGAACUCGUGAGUGAUCCGUAGCAGGAUCAUACUAAUCUUUGUGUGAGGUGUUAUUUAAUCAAGCUUUCAGGAACUUGAUGUGAUGAUGUGACAUGCUUGCAUACGGGAUUAAUGGAGAGUUCACUAGUUAGGAUUUAUUUUUCUAAGUUGGUUUCAUUUGUGAGUUCUGAUUUUAGUAUUUUAAUUUCAAG